GAUGAACGCUGGCGGCGUGCCUAAUACAUGCAAGUCGAGCGAACGGACGAGAAGCUUGCUUCUCUGAUGUUAGCGGCGGACGGGUGAGUAACACGUGGAUAACCUACCUAUAAGACUGGGAUAACUUCGGGAAACCGGAGCUAAUACCGGAUAAUAUUUUGAACCGCAGGGUUCAAAAGUGAAAGACGGUCUUGCUGUCACUUAUAGAUGGAUCCGCGCUGCAUUAGCUAGUUGGUAAGGUAACGGCUUACCAAGGCAACGAUGCAUAGCCGACCUGAGAGGGUGAUCGGCCACACUGGAACUGAGACACGGUCCAGACUCCUACGGGAGGCAGCAGUAGGGAAUCUUCCGCAAUGGGCGAAAGCCUGACGGAGCAACGCCGCGUGAGUGAUGAAGGUCUUCGGAUCGUAAAACUCUGUUAUUAGGGAAGAACAUAUAUGUAAGUAACUGUGCACAUCUUGACGGUACCUAAUCAGAAAGCCACGGCUAACUACGUG
RNAcentral lists this ribosomal RNA (497 nucleotides) under uncultured bacterium. RNAcentral describes it as "partial 16S ribosomal RNA". It matches the Rfam family "Bacterial small subunit ribosomal RNA", at positions 28 to 507 of the family's 1533-position model. The record is from RNAcentral.